Molecule: non-coding RNA, 691 nt
Filed under: Drosophila virilis
Lineage: Eukaryota; Metazoa; Arthropoda; Insecta; Diptera; Drosophilidae
Description: Eukaryotic large subunit ribosomal RNA
Rfam family: Eukaryotic large subunit ribosomal RNA
Source: Rfam by way of RNAcentral
CAACCUCAACUCAUAUGGGACUACCCCCUGAAUUUAAGCAUAUUAAUUAGGGGAGGAAAAGAAACUAACAAGGAUUUUCUUAGUAGCGGCGAGCGAAAAGAAAUCAGUUCAGCACUAAGUCACUUUGUCUAUAUGGCAAAUGUGAGAUGCAGUGUACGGAACAUCAACAUUCUAGUAUGAGAAGUUAACGAUUUAAGUCCUUCUUAAAUGAGGCCAUUUACCCAUAGAGGGUGCCAGGCCCGUAUAACGUUAAUGAUUACUAGAUGGUGUUUCCAAAGAGUCGUGUUGCUUGAUAUUGCAGCACUAAUUGGGUGGUAAACUCCAUCUAAAACUAAAUAUAACCAUGAGACCGAUAGUAAACAAGUACCGUGAGGGAAAGUUGAAAAAAACUCCGAAUAAAAAGUUAAAUAGUACGGGAAACUGCUUAGAGGUUUAGCCCGAAGACCCUGAUAUUCCGUUUGGAAAAUUCUCAUUUAAAUUGGAAUAUUUUAAACAAUAUUUAAAAAAUGGGGGGCUUUUUUCCCUAUAAGGAAAUUGAAAUCCUUUAACAAAAAAAUUUUUCCAAAAUUUUGUCCGAUUGCCUUUUUGAAAUUAUGGCCGGGGCUUUUUAAAAAAAAAAAAAAAAAAAAAAAAAUUUGAAAAAAAGGGCCAAAAAAAAUUUUAAUUAAAUAUAAGGGGGCGAUAUUUUUUU